RNAcentral lists this small RNA (27 nucleotides) under Bombyx mori (domestic silkworm). RNAcentral describes it as "ovarian small RNA-9946". The record is from RNAcentral. Lineage: Eukaryota; Metazoa; Arthropoda; Insecta; Lepidoptera; Bombycidae.
AAACCGUCAAUUCGUACCACCUGAAAA